Molecule: ribosomal RNA, 449 nt
Filed under: uncultured bacterium
Lineage: Bacteria
Description: partial 16S ribosomal RNA
Rfam family: Bacterial small subunit ribosomal RNA
Source: RNAcentral
AGCGAACGCUGGCGGCAGGCCUAACACAUGCAAGUCGAACGAACUCUUCGGAGUUAGUGGCGGACGGGUGAGUAACACGUGGGAACGUGCCUUUAGGUUCGGAAUAACUCAGGGAAACUUGUGCUAAUACCGAAUGUGCCCUUCGGGGGAAAGAUUUAUCGCCUUUAGAGCGGCCCGCGUCUGAUUAGCUAGUUGGUGAGGUAAAGGCUCACCAAGGCUACGAUCAGUAGCUGGUCUGAGAGGAUGACCAGCCACAUUGGGACUGAGACACGGCCCAAACUCCUACGGGAGGCAGCAGUGGGGAAUCUUGCGCAAUGGGCGAAAGCCUGACGCAGCCAUGCCGCGUGGAUGAUGAAGGUCUUAGGAUUGUAAAAUCCUUUCUCCGGUGAAGAUAAUGACUGUAGCCGGAGAAGAAGCCCCGGCUAACUUCGUGCCAGCCGCCGCCGUAA